RNAcentral lists this long non-coding RNA (448 nucleotides) under Pan troglodytes (chimpanzee). RNAcentral describes it as "long non-coding RNA NONPTRT002101". Lineage: Eukaryota; Metazoa; Chordata; Mammalia; Primates; Hominidae. The record is from RNAcentral.
GUGGCUUCUUACUGAUGAGACAGUUCAUCAGAGCAUCUGCAGUGAGAGUGUAACUAACCAGAAAGCUCUGCUUCUGGACUCCUUCCACUGGACUCAGCUUCACAAAAGCCUAAAAGGUCAAAUCAACCUUUACAGGGGAUGGAAGGAGGAGUUCUUGCCCGACACUCUGAGACCCUGAAUGGAUCCUUCUGUGGCUGAUUCAACUCAAAUCUGAGGUUUUCUGCCUUGUCCCGGUUGUAGUACCAUCGUCCUUCUAGAUAUAUGGAAUGCAUUCCUCUUUCUAGUCUUGUUUCAAGAGACUGGCUCUCUUGCUCUGAAUCCUAGAGUCCUUGCCGGUUUCUUGCUGUGAUAGAUUUUCCUGCAUGCAAGCUCUCUCUGCUUACCUGAUCCUAAAUAGCAUCCACUUUGGAAUUACAUGUGCUUCUUUUCUGUUAGCUGUGUAGAAUCC